AGCUGUCCUUGUCCCCUCUCUGCUCAGGUGCCACCAUGGAGCUGGGGAACAUCUCGCAGCCCGUGUACGGCCCCGGCCUCGAGGAGCCGAGCAGCAGCAUGCCGGGGCUGCUCCGCAUGGCGCACGGCUUCCUGCACCUGGUGCAGCCCCACAGCCUCCCCUUGGAGCUGAUAGCGGAUCUGACACAGACGCAGGGCAGGGUGGUGACCGAUGAGCAGAAGGAGGAGCUGCUGCGUUACGAGCUGGGCUUCCUGGUGUGCAUCGCCAUCGGGCUGCUCUUCGCCGUCGCGGUGCCGCUGGCGGGAUGCUGCUUCUGCUGCUGCCGCUGCUGCGGGCGCUGCGGGGGCCGCAUGUCCCAGAAGCAGAGCGGGCGGAUGCGCAGCCGACGCCGGGCGCUGUACAGCGCUGUGCUGCUGGUGUCGGCGCUCCUGCUGGCCGGCGAUGUGUGCGCCUUCAUCAGCAACAUCCGCUUCUCGCAAUCCGUGAGCAGCGCCUUCCCCAACAUCAACAGCACCGUGCACGACCUCUGCUCCUACCUGCUCUCCAUCCCCCAGCAAGUCAGCUUCAUCAUCGACAGCAGCAGCGUCCCGUUGGGCAGCACCAAUGACAGCCUGCAGAACAUUGGGCCCCUCCUCGGCGGCAGGAUCACCUCCAGCAUCAGGAACUGCACAGACGAGGCGCUGGGAUCCCUACAGAGCCUUUUGGGAGGUGAUGUCCCAGUGAUUCUGAGGAUGUGUGGGGGACACCAUGGGGAUACGAGGGCUGAGGGCUGGGCUGGAGGCACAUGUGGUGUUUUGGGAAAGGCCUCUGGGGAGGGGUGUGCCUGUCCAUCCCUGGUCUGGCUGGAACGCUGGCACUUUGGGGUGUAUUCCUGGAUGUCUCUCGCUGCCUCUCCAGCAAUGGAAACACUGGCGUCCACCUUCGGCACCAUCAACAGCACCCGCUGGCGCCUGGAGGAACUGCAGGGCACCUACGACGGGCAGCUGGGCACGCUGCGGGCACGCAUCGACAGCACCCUGAAGCGCUGCGGGCAGCCCUGCAGCACCACCUCAUCCAAUGGCGUGGCCUUCGUGGCCAACUAUAGCACGGUGCCCGGUGUGGAGCGGCAGCUGGAGGCGCUGUGGGAUGUGCUGGACAGUGGCAUAGAGGGGGAUUUGGAGGUGAUCAGCGUGCUGGAGCAGGCCCCCAGAAAGGUGCAAGAGCAGUCCCAGAACGUGGUGACAUGGACCCAGGAGCAGCUGGGCUACAUCAGGCAGGAGAUUCGCAGCAUGCAGGACGAGCUGCCGCUGCAGAAUGUGGAAGAGACAGCUGGGAACCUGGUGAACCAAACCAAUGCCGUGCUGGGGGACAACCAGAAGACUAUCACUGACCUGGAUAGCAUCAGGUGGAGCGUGUGUGCCCUGCUGUGCUGCAUGGUGCUGCUGGUAGUCCUGUGCAACACCUGCGGGCUGCUGCUGGGGCCGUUGGGGCACAAGGAGAGCACGCUGCCCACCCAGCGCGGCUGCCUCUCCAACACCGGAGGGAACUUCUUCAUGGCAGGGGUGGGCUUCAGCUUCAUCUUCUCUUGGCUGCUGAUGCUGCUGGUGCUGCUCACUUUCUUCCUGGGGGGGAACAUCUACAUGCUGGUCUGUGAGUCCUGGAGCAGCCAGCAGCUCUUCCAGCUUGUGGAUACCCCUGGUCUCAUCCCCAGCUUUAACCUUUCGGAGGUGCUGGGUGACGAGAGUGGCACCAUCACCUUCUCACAGAUCUACAGAGAAUGCCAGCAGGAUGCUGCCCUAUGGCAGACACUGCGCCUGGACCAGAGGGUGUCCCUGGAUGAGCUCCUGGACAUCAGCCAGUACACAGGGAAGAUCUCAGCGGCUUUCCAGAAGCUGAACAUCACCCUGACCCCCAUCUCUGUGCUGAACGAGAGCCAGCGGGAGCUGCUGCUGAAUGCCUGCCACGAUGCACAGCCCCCCAGCUUCACCCACACCCUGCAGCAGCUGGAUCAGGGCGUCACGGCGGGCAGCCUGCAGGAGCUGGCCACAGAGCUGGAGCAGUUGGUGGGCAACGCGAGUGCAGAUGUGCAGAGGGACCUGAAGGCAGAUGCUGCUGAGCUGCGGGAGCUGGACAGGGAGCUGAACCACAACUUCUCAGGGCCGCUGAAAACCCUGAAGGAGAACAUCCAGCUGGUGCAGAGCCAGGCUGCCCAGCUUGAGGCACAGACAAACUCCACGUUGGACAAAGCCAGUGCCACAGAGGAGUUCCUGAGAAGGGAGAUGGGGAACAUAAUCAAGAAUGAGACGUGGGCCUUUCUAGAGGAGCUGCUGGACUUCUUUGAGACCUACAUUGCCUGGGCCAAGAGCAGUCUGAGGAUGGAUGUGGCACGCUGCAAGCCCAUAGCCCAGAGCCUGGAUAAUGUGGAGGCCAUCGCCUGUGACCACAUCUUGGACUCUAUGAACACCUUCUGGUUCAGCCUGGGCUGGUGCACUGUGUUCCUGCUGCCCAGCAUCAUCCUGGCCGUGCGUCUCGCCAAGUUCUACCGCCGCAUGGACAUCAACGACGACUACAGGAGCCCCUAUGCUGUGCCCAGAUGAGGAGGCUGGAAUGGAGGGACUGUCACAGCCUGCAGCACCCACACCUUCCUUGUGUGCCCCGGAACAGCCCCAUCCUGCAGUGUGAUGCUGGGCUGGGCUCUCAAGAGGUCCUUCUGACCCACUGACGUGAUCCCUUCUUUUUCCUUCCCCCUAGGAAAGAAGCUGUGGAGAUAGGGCCUGCAUUCAACCUGAACAAAAUCCCCCAGCCAGCUACAAGUCAUUAGCCUCCAUCACAACACGGCACAGGCACUAAGGACGCUGAACAUGACAGCUCUGUCUGCUGCAUCUUCUCCCUUAGCACUGGGAACAGGCUGGGAGCCCCCUCCCCACUUCCCAAUAAGUGGUGAGGUGCUACAGCUGGGAGACAGCCUGCAGGAGAAGGGUGUGUGCCCUUUGCACUGCCCCACGUGGGGCUUUGCUACCCCUCAUCACCUGGGGAAGGUGGCAGGGAAGGGGAGGAGUAGCACAGCAUCUCCCCACGGUUCAUUGCAGCCAUGCUGUGGUGUGGGGCUGGGCCAGGACCCCUCCUCCCCCUUGUGUGCACAGGCAGAUGCUGCUGGCUGAGGGGAACUUGCUUACCUGCUCCAUAACCAAUGUGAGUAUUUAUUUGUGCAGGGAGCCUGACUCUCCAGUGCUGUGAUUUUGGAUGUAAAACAAUAAACGAGGUGAUUUUGUGUUGUA
Tympanuchus pallidicinctus (lesser prairie-chicken) is the source of this 3257-nucleotide RNA transcript. It is a transcript of the gene named prominin-1-A-like, with no coding region annotated. The transcript has 23 exons. The record is from RefSeq and is a predicted model, not a curated record. Lineage: Eukaryota; Metazoa; Chordata; Aves; Galliformes; Phasianidae.